This 274-nucleotide ribosomal RNA is filed under the name uncultured bacterium. RNAcentral's name for it is "partial 16S ribosomal RNA". It matches the Rfam family "Bacterial small subunit ribosomal RNA", at positions 523 to 796 of the family's 1533-position model. The record is from RNAcentral.
AUACGGAGGGUGCAAGCGUUAAUCGGAAUUACUGGGCGUAAAGGGCGCGUAGGCGGCCCAAGAAGUCUCCGGUGAAAUCUCCCGGCUCAACUGGGAGGGGUCCGGGGAAACUCUUGGGCUUGAGGGCAGCAGAGGAGGGUGGAAUUCCCGGUGUAGUGGUGAAAUGCGUAGAUAUCGGGAGGAACACCAGUGGCGAAGGCGGCCCUCUGGGCUGUACCUGACGCUGAGGCGCGAAAGCGUGGGGAGCGAACCGGAUUAGAAACCCGAGUAGUCC